RNAcentral lists this long non-coding RNA (344 nucleotides) under Sorghum bicolor (sorghum). Its description in RNAcentral is "long non-coding RNA (SBIC_LNC007023)". The record is from RNAcentral. Lineage: Eukaryota; Viridiplantae; Streptophyta; Magnoliopsida; Poales; Poaceae.
CGCGAUAACCCUAGCGAACUGCCGCCGCUCCCAUCGCUGUCGUCGUCGCGCAUGACCUUGCCUGCGCUUGCCAAUGGCGAGCUGCCACCGCGCACGCACACCUCCCUCAAGCUUGUCCUCGGCCGCUCCGCAUCCUCGUCCCGCGCGCUUCAUCGUCCUCGCGCGCACGGUGCUCCCUCGAGCUUCUCCUCUGCCCGCGCGCUCCCACGAGCUCGUCCUCUGCCCGUGCGCUCCUCGUCGACCAGCCCCAUCAUCACGCGGCUCGUCCCGUCCUUGCGCGGCUUGUCCCCCUCCUCGUCUCCGCGCGUGGCUUAUCCCCGUCCUCGGCGAUGAUCGAUGUAUAU